This 504-nucleotide ribosomal RNA is filed under the name uncultured bacterium. Its description in RNAcentral is "bacterial SSU rRNA". It matches the Rfam family "Bacterial small subunit ribosomal RNA", at positions 16 to 518 of the family's 1533-position model. The record is from RNAcentral.
AUCCUGGCUCAGGAUGAACGCUGGCGGCGUGCCUAACACAUGCAAGUCGAACGGAAGAUAAGCGCUUCGGAGACUUCGGUCAAUGUUUGCUUAACUUAGUGGCGGACGGGUGAGUAACGCGUGGAUAACCUGCCUCAUACAGGGGGAUAACAGUUAGAAAUGACUGCUAAUACCGCAUAAGCGCACGGAAUCGCAUGUUUCUGUGUGAAAAACUGAGGUGGUAUGAGAUGGAUCCGCGUCUGAUUAGCUAGUUGCGGGGUAACAGCCCACCAAGGCGACGAUCAGUAGCCGGCCUGAGAGGGUGAACGGCCACAUUGGGACUGAGACACGGCCCAAACUCCUACGGGAGGCAGCAGUGGGGGAUAUUGCACAAUGGGGGAAACCCUGAUGCAGCGAACCGCCGCGUGAGUGAAGAAGUAUUUCGGUAUGUAAAGCUCUAUCAGCAGGGAAGAUAAUGACGGUACCUGACUAAGAAGCACCGGCUAAAUACGUGCCAGCAGCCGC